RNAcentral lists this ribosomal RNA (450 nucleotides) under uncultured bacterium. RNAcentral's name for it is "partial 16S ribosomal RNA". It matches the Rfam family "Bacterial small subunit ribosomal RNA", at positions 338 to 795 of the family's 1533-position model. The record is from RNAcentral.
CCUACGGGGGGUGCAGUAGGGAAUAUUGGACAAUGGGCGCAAGCCUGAUCCAGCCAUCCCGCGUGAAGGAUUAAGGCCCUCUGGGUUGUAAACUUCUUUUCUUUGGGAAUAAAAACUCCGAUUCAUCGGAGCUUGAAGGUACCAGAGGAAUAAGCACCGGCUAACUCCGUGCCAGCAGCCGCGGUAAUACGGAGGGUGCAAGCGUUAUCCGGGUUCAAUGGGUGCAAAGGGUGCGUUGUUAGUCAGUUGUGAAAGCCCGGAGCUCAACUCCGGAACUGCCAUUGAUACUGCUUAGCUUGAAUCAGGUCGAGGUGGAUGGAAUAUUACAUGUAGCGGUGAAAUGCUUAGAUAUGUAAUAGAACACCGAUUGCGAAGGCAGUUCACUAGGCCUGUAUUGACACUGAGGCACGAAAGCGUGGGGAUCAAACAGGAUUAGAUACCCUGGUAGUC